AUACUUACCUGGCAGGAGAGAUACCAAGAUCACGAAGGUGGUUUUCCCAGGACGAGGGUUGUCCAUUGCCCUCCAGAUGUACUGACCCCUGCGAUUUCCCCAAAUGUGGGAAACUCAACUGCAUAAUUUGUGGUAGUAGGGGACUGCGUUUGUGCUCUCCCCUG
This 164-nucleotide small nuclear RNA is filed under the name Castor canadensis (American beaver). RNAcentral's name for it is "U1 spliceosomal RNA (ENSCCNG00000002549.1)". It matches the Rfam family "U1 spliceosomal RNA". Rfam says of the family: U1 is a small nuclear RNA (snRNA) component of the spliceosome (involved in pre-mRNA splicing). Its 5' end forms complementary base pairs with the 5' splice junction, thus defining the 5' donor site of an intron. There are significant differences in sequence and secondary structure between metazoan and yeast U1 snRNAs, the latter being much longer (568 nucleotides as compared to 164 nucleotides in human). The record is from Rfam by way of RNAcentral. Lineage: Eukaryota; Metazoa; Chordata; Mammalia; Rodentia; Castoridae.